GCCGACCGAGCGUCUUGCGCAACAGUUGCGCGAGCGGCUGGCUGCCAACACGAUGGCCGGCGGAUCACGUGCAGGCGAAGCGGAAGACGCACGCUUGAGGGCGGUCGAGCAGGAAGUACGAUCCGCCCAGGCCCAGUGGAUGCGGCUGGGACCCGUGCCGCCGCAGGUGGCCGGUCCGCUCAACGAGCGAUUCCAGCGAGCUUGUCGCCGGUUCUUCGAUCAGCGUCGACGCGCGUCGUAGCCCUUCGGACUGAGAUUCCUCCAUGAUUCGAACCCUCAUUCGGACUGUCGGUAUUGGUGUGCUUUGCGCGCCGAUGCUGCUCGCGCAGGCCGAAGGCCCGACGCUUCAGCCGUUGUGGACGCUCACGGGCGACUUCGCGUCACCAGAAAGCGCCUAUUACCACGCGGGCUCGAACUCGAUCUUCGUGUCGUCGAUAAACGGCCAGAUUCUCGAGAAGGAUGGGAACGGCUACAUCUCGCGCCUGUCGCCAGACGGCAAGAUGGUCAGUGCGAAGUGGGUAACCGGUCUCAACGCGCCCAAGGGCAUUCGCAGCCUGGGCGGCACGCUCUGGGUGACCGACAUCGACGAGGUCGUGUCGAUCGACAUCGCGACCGCGCGCAUCACCGCGCACGUCAAGGUCGAUGGCGCUCUGUUCCUCAACGAUCUGGCGACGGCGCAGGACGGAACUGUCUACGCGUCGGACUCGAACCUGGCGCGCGUCUACGCAGUCAAGGAUGGCAAGUCGUCGGUCUUCGCUGAGGGCGCCGAUCAGGUUGAUGUCCCGAAUGGACUGCUCGUUGAUGGGACGCGCCUGGUUCUUGGAACGAUCGGCGUCGCCAGCGCUCGGGGACGAGGGCCGGGUCGCGGCGCAGGACCGCCACCGAGCGGGCAUCUCUACGCCUUCGAUCUCACGACCAAGCAGCGCACACAACUCACGACGGACCCUGUCGGCGGGAUUGACGGGAUCGAACCGGACGGUCGCGGCGGCUUGCUGAUCACAGACGUGAUCGGCGCACGACUUCUGCAUGUGGCCCCGUCGGGGCAGACGCAAGUGCUCGCGAAGUUCUCAGGUGGGGGAGCCGACUUCGGCUACAUCGGGGCCAGGCGAAUCGCGGUCGUUCCGUUCCUCAACGCGAACACUGUCUCGGCCUACGACCUGACGGCUUCGCUGAAAUGAAAAGGCGUCAACCUUCAAGAUACGUGUAUCCGUGCAGGCCGUCUUCGUAGAAGCGAAGAAGCUUGCCGGCGCCCUCGUAGUCGACGCGUCCUUCACGCACCGCGGUCUCGACGUCCGUC
RNAcentral lists this unclassified non-coding RNA (1297 nucleotides) under uncultured fungus. RNAcentral describes it as "sequence contains 18S rRNA gene, ITS1, 5.8S rRNA gene, ITS2, 28S rRNA gene". Lineage: Eukaryota; Fungi. The record is from RNAcentral.